Dama dama (fallow deer) is the source of this 352-nucleotide long non-coding RNA. RefSeq lists it as uncharacterized. The record is from RefSeq and is a predicted model, not a curated record. Lineage: Eukaryota; Metazoa; Chordata; Mammalia; Artiodactyla; Cervidae. The transcript has 3 exons.
CCGCGCUCCGGCUGCUCCUAAUUCAGUGGGCAUUUCAACCAGACCCUGAAGGGACUCAACCUAGAAGGAUAAUUGCUUUACAAUAUUGUGCUGGUUUCUGCCGAACAUCAACAUGAAACAGUCACAGAUGAAGUUGGUGAUCCCACCAUCCCCAAGGUAGAAGCCAGGAGGAGUGUCCUGAGAUUCUCCCCUCCUCCACCCAGCAGACCUGGUCUAUUGAUUACAUCUCCACCACACCCUCAGUUUCACCCUCUUUAUUCAUUCCCACUGCUUUCCUUAGUUCAAGCCUUUCUUACUUCUUUCCCAGAGCUUAGCAAAAUGCUUUAUUUGUGAUAGGUAUAUUAGUCUGCGU